This is a long non-coding RNA of Corvus hawaiiensis (hawaiian crow), 339 nucleotides long. RefSeq lists it as uncharacterized. The record is from RefSeq and is a predicted model, not a curated record. The transcript is spliced from 3 exons. Lineage: Eukaryota; Metazoa; Chordata; Aves; Passeriformes; Corvidae.
GAAAGACACCCUAAAAGAGCCCUACUGUGCAACAGAGAGAAGACUGGAGCUCACAUCUCUGCAAGCUUUUGGCUCAUCAAUGCGCUGAAACAUUGUGAGAGCUUCUGUUGCUGAAGAUGACACAGUCAGACAGGUUCCUCACAGCUGAAUCCUAUUCAGGUCUGUAUGGUCUGCUCUGAAUGACCCAAACAGGACUGACUUUUCACUAAAGAAUUACUCACAGAGCUGAUAUAUGGCCAUGAGAAUUUUGUUGCAGACUGGAUCCAAGUAGACCCUUGGCUCUGCCAGCAACAAUUCUUCUGCUUCCAUCUUUGAAGGAUUUUCAAAAUUGCAGCUACG